Vicia faba (fava bean) is the source of this 303-nucleotide non-coding RNA. The record is from the annotation of a GenBank genome assembly. NCBI's taxonomy places the organism in Eukaryota, Viridiplantae, Streptophyta, Magnoliopsida, Fabales, Fabaceae.
AUGGAGACUCAUCUAAAGAGAAAUGGAGAUUUUAUUGACGAGCGCACAAGAAUCACUCAAGACGAGUUUAAUAGAGAACUUGUUCUAAAGUUGUCAGAGCAUCCUGAAUUACCUGAACCACCACCAGGAUAUCCUGUUGACCAUGGUGUGGAUUUUCGGACAUGUUAUGAUGUUUCAGGUGGAAAGAAGAAAAAUAGAAGAGCGUAUGGUCCUGGAGGGUACGCCAAAACUAUCAAGCGGCGUGAUAGGAGUUUCAGAAUGAGACUUGCUGAUGGAGAAGGAACAUCAACUCCACCAUAUUAA